GCCGGGGUAACCAAGUGGAUCACGUUAUAGGCGUACAAAAACGGUGCAGGCCUGGAGAGCCUGUGAUCCGAAAGGAUCGCGCGAGUUCGAAUCUCGCCCCCGGCGCCA
RNAcentral lists this transfer RNA (108 nucleotides) under Candidatus Freyarchaeota archaeon. RNAcentral describes it as "tRNA-Ser". It matches the Rfam family "tRNA". From Rfam's summary of the family: Transfer RNA (tRNA) molecules are approximately 80 nucleotides in length. Their secondary structure includes four short double-helical elements and three loops (D, anti-codon, and T loops). RNAcentral also lists the same sequence under 2 other names. Lineage: Archaea; Promethearchaeati; Candidatus Freyarchaeota. The record is from RNAcentral.